UAAUACGGAGGGUGCAAGCGUUGUUCGGAUUAUUGGGCGUAAAGCGAGUGUAGGCGGUUUGAAAAGUCGGAUGUGAAAUCCCGAGGCCCAACCUCGGAACUGCAUCCGAAACUGUCAGGCUAGAGUUCCGGAGAGGGUGGCGGAAUUCCCGGUGUAGGGGUGAAAUCCGUAGAUAUCGGGAGGAACACCAGUGGCGAAGGCGGCCACCUGGACGGUGACUGACGCUGAGACUCGAAAGCGUGGGUAGCAAACAGGAUUAGAUACCCUGGUAGUCCACGCCGUAAACGGUGAGAGCUCGUCGUAGUGGGUAUUGACCCCUGCUGUGACCAAGCUAACGCAUGAAGCUCUCCGCCUGGGAAGUACGGUCGCAAGACUA
RNAcentral lists this ribosomal RNA (376 nucleotides) under uncultured delta proteobacterium. Its description in RNAcentral is "bacterial SSU rRNA". It matches the Rfam family "Bacterial small subunit ribosomal RNA", at positions 521 to 896 of the family's 1533-position model. Lineage: Bacteria; Deltaproteobacteria. The record is from RNAcentral.